Molecule: ribosomal RNA, 460 nt
Filed under: uncultured bacterium
Lineage: Bacteria
Description: partial 16S ribosomal RNA
Rfam family: Bacterial small subunit ribosomal RNA
Source: RNAcentral
CCUACGGGAGGCAGCAGUGAGGAAUAUUGGUCAAUGGACGAGAGUCUGAACCAGCCAAGUAGCGUGAAGGAUGACUGCCCUAUGGGUUGUCAACUUCUUUUAUAUGGGAAUAAAAUGUUCCACGUGUGGGGUUUUGUAUGUACCAUAUGAAUAAGGAUCGGCUAACUCCGUGCCAGCAGCCGCGGUAAUACGGAGGAUCCGAGCGUUAUCCGGAUUUAUUGGGUUUAAAGGGAGCGUAGGUGGAUUGUUAAGUCAGUUGUGAAAGUUUGCGGCUCAACCGUAAAAUUGCAGUUGAAACUGGCAGUCUGGAGUACAGUAGAGGUGGGCGGAAUUCGUGGUGUAGCGGUGAAAGGCUUAGAUAUCACGAAGAACUCCGAUUGCGAAGGCAGCAUACCGGCGCCCAACUGACGCUGAAGCACGAAAGCGUGGGUAUCGAACAGGAUUAGAUACCCCUGUAGUC